RNAcentral lists this transfer RNA (67 nucleotides) under Cavia porcellus (domestic guinea pig). It matches the Rfam family "tRNA". From Rfam's summary of the family: Transfer RNA (tRNA) molecules are approximately 80 nucleotides in length. Lineage: Eukaryota; Metazoa; Chordata; Mammalia; Rodentia; Caviidae. The record is from Rfam by way of RNAcentral.
UGUGACUCAGUGGUAGAGUUCUUGCCUUUCAUGCACAAGGCUCUGGGUUCAAAUCCCAGAACCACAA